This 377-nucleotide small RNA is filed under the name Histoplasma capsulatum. RNAcentral's name for it is "hypothetical RNA". The record is from RNAcentral. Lineage: Eukaryota; Fungi; Ascomycota; Eurotiomycetes; Onygenales; Ajellomycetaceae. RNAcentral also lists the same sequence under 1 other name.
CCCAAACCAGGAGCAUCGUUACAGCCAUGGAGCCAAAAACAGCAAUGUGGACACUCAUUGGGCGGCAUGUACCCUAAGUUUUACGCAGGAGAUGCAGCAUUUUGCCUCCGAUAGCAACAAUGCAACGUCCGCAGUUGGACGGCGCAUGGUUAGGUGUCUCUAAUAUCGUUGCAACGACAAGAUGAUAUGCUAACGUGACUUCGUAAAGCUACAGAAAGAAUAGAAAUGAAACACAUGGAACACAAGUAAUGUCCAGUGCAUAUAACACAGCUUCGAAAAAUAUUUGACGAUGCAGAGCUGGACGGCUACCCCUAUCAACCCUAAAUGAUGAAAGGGGAGGAGGAGCUCGAUCGCAAGCUCCCACUCCAAAACACGGC